RNAcentral lists this long non-coding RNA (419 nucleotides) under Monodelphis domestica (gray short-tailed opossum). RNAcentral describes it as "lncRNA (ENSMODG00000038589.1)". Lineage: Eukaryota; Metazoa; Chordata; Mammalia; Didelphimorphia; Didelphidae. The record is from RNAcentral.
GUCCAAAUUCCUUCAAGCCUUUUUUUGUAACAGUAAAAUGAUUAGUGAAAGGGAAGAGACUUCCAGUACCUCGAGUAGAACACAGAAAAACAAAGAAAUAGAAGAACAGCAAAUGCAGCACAAAACAACAGAGGAUAUUAGGGAGCCAGCAGUCCUUGUGGGCCUCUCUCUCUUUGGCAUGAUGACAUCAAGCUUGGUGGCAGUGCACUGCAGAGUUUAUACCCCAAAGAGAUAUUCAUGAAAAAGACCUGUUCAAGAUUAUACCUAGCUGUGCUCUUUGUGGUGGCAAAAAAUUGGAAAAUGAAGGGAUGCCUUCCCAUUGGGGAAUAGCUGAACAAAUUGUGGUAUCUGUUGGUGACGAAUACUCUUCUGUCCAAAGGAAUAAUAAACUGGAGGAAUUCCGUGUGUACUGGAAUGAC